This 620-nucleotide ribosomal RNA is filed under the name uncultured bacterium. RNAcentral's name for it is "bacterial SSU rRNA". It matches the Rfam family "Bacterial small subunit ribosomal RNA", at positions 434 to 1051 of the family's 1533-position model. The record is from RNAcentral.
UGUCAGGGGGGACGAAAGCCAGUGUAAGCUGGCUGGACGGUACCUCCAGAGGAAGCACCGGCUAACUCCGUGCCAGCAGCCGCGGUAAUACGGAGGGUGCGAGCGUUGUCCGGAAUCAUUGGGCGUAAAGCGCACGUAGGCGGUGGGGUAAGUCUUGUGGUGAAAGGCCGGGGCUCAACCCCGGGCAGGCCCGAGAGACUGCCCCGCUGGAGACAGGCAGAGGCCAGCGGAAUUCCGGGUGUAGCGGUGGAAUGCGUAGAGAUCCGGAAGAACACCGGAGGCGAAGGCGGCUGGCUGGGCCUGAUCUGACGCUGAGGUGCGAAAGCGUGGGGAGCGAACAGGAUUAGAUACCCUGGUAGUCCACGCCGUAAACGGUGGACACUAGAUGCUGGGGGGAUCGACCCUCUCGGUGUCGGAAGCUAACGCGUUAAGUGUCCCGCCUGGGGAGUACGGCCGCAGGGCUGAAACUCAAAGGAAUUGACGGGGGCCCGCACAAGCGGUGGAGCAUGUGGUUUAAUUCGAAGCAACGCGAAGAACCUUACCUGGGCUUGACAUGCUAAGGAAACCCUCGGGAAACCGGGGGCCCUCUUCGGAGCCUUAGCACAGGUGCUGCAUGGCUG